CCAAGAUCCUCUACUGGGAGGCCACACUCGCCUUUGCUCCAUAGACCAGCGGGCAGUGGUGCUGGCGGCCGCUCCAUUCUGAGGAAGGGUCAAGGCCGCCAUGCUCUCUUGAAGGCAAACGGGAGGCUCAGGUCAACCCCCAGAUGCCAGUGCGCACGCUUCCAAGUCACCCGGGAGCCUCGGGGACCAGCGUUCACAAGGUGCACAGAGAGCUGGGCUGAGGCCGUAGUGGAACACCAGUGCUGUGCCUUCGACGAGCUCCCCGGGCCAUCGAGGGCACCGGUGUGGACGUUCAGUUUCCUUGGAGGGCCUCCCUCAUUCCCUCCCACCAAAAAGGGGGUUCAUCCCAACAGCACCCCCAUAAGUCAUGAAAAUCUCUUACAGCGUGUUUCCUGGAAACUUCAGGCAGAAGCGGAAGGGAGCUGACAUCAGCAGGAUGCUUCUUUCUUUCCUUUUUCUUUUUUUUUUUUUUAAGAUCGUCUCAUUUAAUGCAAUAA
This is a long non-coding RNA of Prionailurus viverrinus (fishing cat), 497 nucleotides long. RefSeq lists it as uncharacterized. The transcript is spliced from 3 exons. The record is from RefSeq and is a predicted model, not a curated record. Lineage: Eukaryota; Metazoa; Chordata; Mammalia; Carnivora; Felidae.